Homo sapiens (human) is the source of this 379-nucleotide long non-coding RNA. RefSeq lists it as uncharacterized. The transcript has 3 exons. The record is from RefSeq and is a predicted model, not a curated record. NCBI's taxonomy places the organism in Eukaryota, Metazoa, Chordata, Mammalia, Primates, Hominidae.
GAUAAAUACGUGGUUAAAUGAACAUUGAAGAAGGAAAGCAGCAACAAAGAAGCUCUCAGACGAACAGACAGGACAGAGUCAGGAAAGAACAGAGUGCUCCUAUAAUGGUACUCUAAAGCUGCUUUGAAUUUUCAAACCACUUUAAUUGCACUUUGAGUAUCUAAGCAAACCUGAUCUCCAGAUACAGACAGAGCUUUCCAGGGACAACUAUGUCAUUAAAAAAUUCUGAGCCCUCAGUGAUGGAGUAGGAGUGGAGCAUUCUGAGCCUGUGAGCAAACUGUGUGAAUUCAAGGUCAGUAUCUCCAUAGCUCACUCCAAGAAUGCAGAAUGGAAUUUAGGCCAGCCAGUCUGGUGUUACCCACUGUGGUACCAGAAAUUU